UACCAAACCCUAAACUUUACUCUUUUCUCCUUUCUUCUCUACCAAACCCUAAACUUUACUCUUUUCUCCUUUCUUCUCUACCAAACCCUACGAAAGAAGGUUUUCUCUCAACAUUUCUUCCCUUUCUUCCUUUCUCAAUCUCAUCACUUUUUAAUCUCCCCUUGGCUUCCAGUCAAAACCUUCAUAUUCCCCACCUUCACCAUCGCCGCCGUGAAAUCCGCCUUCCAGAGGCUCCGACUACUCCGAUAAUGAUAUGAAAAUUAGGGAUGAUAAGGAAAUUGAGGCCACCGUUGUUGAUGGAAACGGUACUGAAACAGGCCAUAUAAUUGUAACAACCAUUGGUGGAAAGAACGGCCAACCAAAGCAGACUAUCAGUUACAUGGCCGAGCGAGCUGUAGGACACGGUUCUUUUGGAGUUGUAUUUCAGGCAAAAUGCUUGGAAACUGGUGAAACAGUUGCAAUUAAAAAGGUUCUUCAGGACAAGAGUAGAAGAAUCUUUCCAUAAUGAUGGUGUGUAGGGGCAUGGGAACAGCAGCAAACUCAGUAGUUUCCCACCGUUAAAAAAAACAGUUUUGUUUGCUUUAUGGCUCUAUCUCUAACACUGACUGCAAUGGGGCAUAUACCAAAGCAAUGCGUGGAGAGUGGCCAAAGUGUACCUUUUGCUGCUGGUGCCGGAGAUACCAACAUUUGUGGUGGUAUUGUUCAGUUGUAUUGGGAAAGGAUUCUGGGACGAAGCUUAGAUUUAAAUGGCCAAGUUCGUCAAAUUGCCCUCAAGGCCAUAGUAAGCUUGUGGGUUGGUGCUGUGAUUAGUAGCUGGUGCAAUUUCAUAACUGUCUUGUAUGUUGGUCAUUUUCUACUAGAGGAGGAUGAUAAGUUUCUAGAUAAGGUUUGAGCUACAGUUCAGGAAGAGGAAUGUCAAGCCCUUGCUGCAUUUGGUGCCUGUUUCCAAUAUUAAUAAUUGUUUGAAGAAGCAUUUUCGAGACCUUUAAAAUGUCGUGAUUUUUGAAUUUAUAUAAUUAUGUUUGGUUGCAGUUAAUUUUACAAGCGUGUUUUCAUUGUUGGUGGAAUCAGACUUGAAUAAUAUGAGAUUUAUGUGCUUUAAGAUA
This is an RNA transcript of Cucumis melo (muskmelon), 1106 nucleotides long. RefSeq lists it as uncharacterized. The transcript has 8 exons. The record is from RefSeq and is a predicted model, not a curated record. Lineage: Eukaryota; Viridiplantae; Streptophyta; Magnoliopsida; Cucurbitales; Cucurbitaceae.